UACCAGCACCCCGAGUGGUCGGGACGUUUAUUGGGCCUAAAGCAUCCGUAGCCGGUUCUACAAGUCUUCCGUUAAAUCCAACUGCUUAACAGGUGGGCUGCGGAAGAUACUAUAGAGCUAGGAGGCGGGAGAGGCAAGCGGUACUCGAUGGGUAGGGGUAAAAUCCGUUGAUCCAAUGAAGACCACCAGUGGCGAAGGCGGCUUGCCAGAACGCGCUCGACGGUGAGGGAUGAAAGCUGGGGGAGCAAACCGG
Molecule: ribosomal RNA, 253 nt
Filed under: uncultured bacterium
Lineage: Bacteria
Description: partial 16S ribosomal RNA
Rfam family: Archaeal small subunit ribosomal RNA
Source: RNAcentral